GGUCCAGACACAGUGAGGAUUGACAGAUUGAGAGCUCUUUCUUGAUUCUGUGGGUGGUGGUGCAUGGCCGUUCUUAGUUGGUGGAGUGAUUUGUCUGCUUAAUUGCGAUAACGAACGAGACCUUAACCUGCUAAAUAGCCCGUACUGCUUUGGCAGUUCGCCGGCUUCUUAGAGGGACUAUCGGCUCAAGCCGAUGGAAGUUUGAGGCAAUAACAGGUCUGUGAUGCCCUUAGAUGUCCUGGGCCGCACGCGCGUUACACUGACAGAGCCAGCGAGUAUUUCCUUGACCGGAAGGUCCGGGUAAUCUUGUUAAACUCUGUCGUGCUGGGGAUAGAGCAUUGCAAUUAUUGCUCUUCAACGAGGAAUCCCUAGUAAGCGCAAGUCAUCAGCUUGCGUUGAUUACGUCCCUGCCCUUUGUACACACCGCCCGUCGCUACUACCGAUUGAAUGGCUCAGUGAGAUCUCCGGACUGGCCCAGAGAGGUGGGCAACUACCACUCAGGGCCGGAAAGCUGCUCAAACUCGGUCAUUUAGAGGAAGUAAAAGUCGUAACAAGG
This 556-nucleotide ribosomal RNA is filed under the name Enterocarpus grenotii. RNAcentral's name for it is "SSU rRNA". It matches the Rfam family "Eukaryotic small subunit ribosomal RNA", at positions 1221 to 1799 of the family's 1831-position model. The record is from RNAcentral. Lineage: Eukaryota; Fungi; Ascomycota; Sordariomycetes; Microascales; Microascaceae.